CUUGGCUGAGCGGGUGGCUUUUAGCCGAGUGGUCUUCGGGGAUGAUUUCCGUAAAGGUGCAUGAGUGGUGUUUGGUUUGUUGCGGAUGGUUGGAUGUCUGCUUGCGCAGCAACUUCCAUGCGGGCUUACCUCUUCAAUUGUGCUACAAGCCUUGUUUGGCUUGCAGCAUUCGGUGGGUUUCUUGUGUUAAUUACCUAAUCGAUGGCAUUGUUUGUCCCCAUUAGUUGGAUUUUGUAACACGUUGCUUGCGGCGUGAUACAAACAAUGAAGCAACCUUUGUUGUUCAACCUGUUGCUGCUCAUGCAUCGAUGGCUUGGCCCAUGAAGUGUUGAUUGGUCCCUUGGAUAUGGAACAUGAUGUGGGCACAAGUUUGUCAAAGAUCUUGUAUUUGCCUUAUUGAGUGAUUUARC
RNAcentral lists this unclassified non-coding RNA (410 nucleotides) under Tragopogon ruber. RNAcentral's name for it is "partial external transcribed spacer". The record is from RNAcentral. Lineage: Eukaryota; Viridiplantae; Streptophyta; Magnoliopsida; Asterales; Asteraceae.